Molecule: ribosomal RNA, 433 nt
Filed under: uncultured bacterium
Lineage: Bacteria
Description: partial 16S ribosomal RNA
Rfam family: Bacterial small subunit ribosomal RNA
Source: RNAcentral
AGCGAACGCUGGCGGCAGGCCUAACACAUGCCAGUCGAACGAACUCUUCGGAGUUAGUGGCGGACGGGUGAGUAACACGUGGGAACGUGCCUUUAGGUUCGGAAUAACUCAGGGAAACUUGUGCUAAUACCGAAUGUGCCCUUCGGGGGAAAGAUUUAUCGCCUUUAGAGCGGCCCGCGUCUGAUUAGCUAGUUGGUGAGGUAAAGGCUCACCAAGGCGAGGAUCAGUAGCUGGUCUGAGAGGAUGAUCAGCCACAUUGGGACUGAGACACGGCCCAAACUCCUACGGGAGGCAGCAGUGGGGAAUCUUGCGCAAUGGGCGAAAGCCUGACGCAGCCAUGCCGCGUGAAUGAUGAAGGUCUUAGGAUUGUAAAAUUCUUUCACCGGGGACGAUAAUGACGGUACCCGGAGAAGAAGCCCCGGCUAACUUCGUG